This 615-nucleotide ribosomal RNA is filed under the name uncultured bacterium. Its description in RNAcentral is "bacterial SSU rRNA". It matches the Rfam family "Bacterial small subunit ribosomal RNA", at positions 338 to 954 of the family's 1533-position model. The record is from RNAcentral.
CCUACGGGAGGCAGCAGUGAGGAAUAUUGGACAAUGGGCGCAAGCCUGAUCCAGCCAUGCCGCGUGCAGGAUGACGGUCCUAUGGAUUGUAAACUGCUUUUGUACAGGAAGAAACAGUUCUACGUGUAGAACCUUGACGGUACUGUAAGAAUAAGGAUCGGCUAACUCCGUGCCAGCAGCCGCGGUAAUACGGAGGAUCCAAGCGUUAUCCGGAAUCAUUGGGUUUAAAGGGUCCGUAGGCGGUUUAGUAAGUCAGUGGUGAAAGCCCAUCGCUCAACGGUGGAACGGCCAUUGAUACUGCUAAACUUGAAUUAUUAGGAAGUAACUAGAAUAUGUAGUGUAGCGGUGAAAUGCUUAGAGAUUACAUGGAAUACCAAUUGCGAAGGCAGGUUACUACUAAUGGAUUGACGCUGAUGGACGAAAGCGUGGGUAGCGAACAGGAUUAGAUACCCUGGUAGUCCACGCCGUAAACGAUGGAUACUAGCUGUUGGAAGCAAUUUCAGUGGCUAAGCGAAAGUGAUAAGAUCCCGACCUGGGGAGUACGUUUCGCAAGAAGUUAGAAGUACGAAGAAGUUAGAGGCGNGAGAGAGCGACGGACGACGACGAGGGAGGAGG